GGCUCGUCCCUUCCCCCACCCCCAGCCGCCGCCGCCGCCCGCGCUUCGCAACAAAGCCGGCUGCGGAGCCACGGUCCACGCCGCCCGCCCGCGACCCCGCCGCCCCGCACGGUGGUCGGAAAGUCUCUCCCUUACCAGCCUUCGCUUCCUGGUGCCCAGCUCUUAGGACCGUGUGUGACUCUGGCCUUCCACGGAGACAACAGAGAAACGCACUGCAACUCGCAUGGAGGAAUCGGCGAAAUGGCUCCGACCGCGGCGCGAGGGGGCGGGACUAGCGAGCGGUGUUGAAAGCAGCAGGGGCCUAGAAGACAUUAAACUGAUACCACAGAAAUACAAAGGAUCAUUAGAGACUGUUAUGAACAACUAUAUGCCAGCAAAUUGGAAACCAAAUGGAAAUGGGUAAAUUCCUGAACAGAUACAACUUAUCAAAAUUGAACCAAGAAGAAAUAGAAAACCUGAAAAGACCAACUAUGAGUAAUGAGAUUGAAUCAGUAAUAUAAAGUCUCCCAUCAAAUAAAAGCCCAGGCCCUGAUUGCUUCACUGCUGAAUUCUACCAAACAGUUAAAGAAGAACUAAUACCAAUUCUUCUCAAACUCAUCCUAUGAGGCCAGCAUUACCCUGAUACCAAAACUAGAUAUGGACACAAGAAAAAAAAAUCUAUAGGCCAGUAUCCCUGAUGAAGAUAGAUGCAAGAACCCUCAACAAGGCCAGGUGCGGUGGUUCACGCCUGUAAUCCCAGCACUUUGGGAGGCCAAGGCACGUGGAUCACCUGAGGUCAGGAAAUUCGAGACCAGCCUGGCCAACAUGGCGAAACCCCGUCUCUACUAAAAAUACAAAAAUUAGCCGGGCAAGGUGGUGGGUGCCUGUAAUCCCAUCUACUUGGGAGGCUGAGGCAGGAGAAUUGCUUGAACCUGGAAGGGGCGGAGGUUACAGCCAGCUCAGAUCGUCCCACUGCACUCCAGCCUGGGUGACAGAGUGAGACUCCAUCUCAAAAUAAGUAAAUUAAGAGACUCAACUAGCAUAAAUGAAUUGCAAGUCUUUUAUAGUAUAUAAUGAGCACAACAAAAGUAUCAAUAUAUUAUAUGGAAAUACAUUUUUCAAAGGUGGAUCUUUAGCUUCCAAGGAUUAAGAAUUUUGUUAUUGAGUUGGUUCUUCAUUCAGGCUCUGCACCUGAGACCUACAGUCCCCUGGGAUUUGGGUCCGAGGACUGGCAUUACCUUUGUAGGUGGCCCUUGGCAACUAGCACUGUCUAAAAUCUUAACAUUUGCAGAUGAAGCCUUACAACAUGUCCCAAAAGUAUGGAAAGUGGGCCGAUUUCAACACAACCAUUACCUGUUCCCAGUAGCUGACCAACUAGGGAGAUUUCAGAGGUUAAUCAAGCAGGACAGAGCAGGGUAGGGAAAUUUUUUUAAGCUUUAUUAUAAAACAGGUAACUUUGUCCCUAUUAAGAAUUUGGAACUGAGGCUAUAGGUCACUUAUGAUCAAAUAAUGAAAGGUCUGCUUCAACUGGACUACAUAACAUUUCACAUUUACCUUUUUGACUAGAAAUAACAGAUGAAAGUUCACUUAGUUUGGUGGGAAACAAGAGAUACAAAGAUAUCUUCUUCUCCAGGAUGAAACUCCUAAAGGUAAAUGUUCACUGAGUACCACUGUCGCUCAAAUUUAAGACAUCUGGAGUUCCUUUGAGCAUAGUUCUGCUCUCAUAUUUCCAAUCACUUCAUCUAGACUCCUCCUCAACUUCUCUUCCUCUGUGUGCACUCCAAUUGCAAGUCAUGCCCAGGUUCUAUUCUUAGCACUCUAUAUACCCUCUACCUGGAGAGUCUUAUUCUUCCUAUAUUCCAACCACCAUCCAUAUGCUGAUAUGGACUGAAUAUUUGUAUCUCCCUCAAAUUUGUAUGCUGAAGCCCUAAUCCUCAAUGUGAUGGUAUUUGGAGAUGGGGCUUUUAGGAUAUAACUGGGUUUAGAUGAGGUCAUGACAGUAGAGCCCCCAUGAUGGGAUUAGUGCCCUUACAAGAGGAUGAGACCAGAACCUUCUCUCCUCUGAUAUAAUUACCCACAUAAACCUUCACAUAUUGAAGAGCUGGUUGAUUUCUUAACAAAGGGGUCUCCAAUUCCUGAGCUGCAGACCAGUACUGGUCCAUGGCCUGUCAGGAACGGGGCCGUACAGAAGCAAGUGAGCGAAGGGCGAGCGAGCAUUACCACCUGUCACAUCAGCAGCAGCAUUAGAUUCUUAUAGGAAUGUGAACCUUAUUGUGAACUGCAGAUGCAAGGGACCUAGGUUGCGUGCUCCUUAUGAGAAAAUGCCUAAUGAUCGGAGGUGGAAUGGCUUCAUCCUGACACCAUCCCUCCCAGGCCCCUGGUGCGUGGAAAAAUUGUCUUCCAUGAAACCUGUUCCUGGUGCCGAAUAGGUUGGGGACUGCUGGUUUAAAGGACUGAUGACGCUUUUAAUGCAGUGAGUGACACAGAUGAAGUAUAUAAUGUGAAUUCCAGCAGAAAUGGAUGAAGAGACUGAAGAACAGACCCUAUCUGAUUCUUUUUAAAAUUAUUUUCUUGUUAUAUAAUUAUGGUCAUUCAACAGCUAAUUUCUAUUAGACUUCUUUUUUAUUGCUUGUUGUACAUAAGUGAAUAUUUGUCUUUUCUAUAAGCAAUCAUAACAUUGGAAAUCAUUUUUCUGUCUCCAUUUUAUCAGUUUUUCUUGAACCAUUUGUUAAUCUACAAGUUCUAUGGCUAUAUAGAAAUCUAUUCACAUUCACAGGAUUUUGCAACAUGCUUUGCUCCAUUUUUACAGUUGUAUUUGCUUUCUCCAUAUUUAUUCUACAGGAAUUAAUUUAUAGUUUGGCUUGCUUCUUAGUUAUGUAGUCUUGAAAUGCCAUAUUCACAUUUGCUUUUAUGGUUCCCAUAUUAAGUUAGUUCAGGGCUUUAUUUACCCAUGCAUUUGUAUAUUUGAGCAUUUUUGUUGCUUGCUUUAUACAAGCUUUAAUUGAGACUAAUACAUGUCUUUCUUUUCUUUUUGUAGAGACAGGGUCUUGUUAUGUUGCCCAGGCUAGUCUCAAACACCUGGCCUCAACUGAUCCUCCCACCUCAGCUUCUGAAAGUGCUGGGAUUACAGGCAUGAGCCACCACAAGAACACAUUUCUAUAAGGUUAUGGGGUUUUACUUUUUUCCAGUGUUAAUUAGUUUCACAUAUCUAGAAUUUAUAAUUUCUUACUGGAUACUAGUAUAGAAUUACUGUAUUUAUUUACCUGAACAAAUUAAUGUUUCCCUCUACAAACUACUUUAGAAAGAUUUUCAAUAAAGGUAAAUGGGACGUAAUAAUCUAUUAAGAGAAAAUGACUCAGAGUGGAACCUGUAGCAAAAUAUAAAUUUGCUGUCUUUAAAAGACGAAUUGAAAGCAAAAGAUUCCAAAAGCUUAAAAAAAUGGAGAUGCCCUAAAUAAACUUACCAUUGAAAACAGAAAAUGUUGAAUACAAUAAAAAAAUGCAUUGUUGUGCUGCCAAGAAAGAAAAUGCUUUAGAGGUAAACAUUAAUGAAGUGAAUGAAUGAAUCCAGAGAGGCAAGAGAACCCUGACGUAAGCACCUACCCUGAAAGGGUCUGCUGAGUUUUAAUGAACUUGAGCUUCUUUUUAAUAAAAGCUGCACUGGGGUUUAGGAGAAAGGAGACAAAAGAGACUGCCCAACAUGCAGAGGCUAAGAGGAGACCUACACAUAAGCCAGAAUGCCUUAUAUCUUCAGUGAAAAGUGAACAAUAGCAACAAUGAAAAACCAAACCAACCAGAAGAGGGGAAUAAGGAAACUUGUCUAUCAAAAACUAGAUGCUAGGUAGGAAAAAAAAAAAAAAAAAGGACUCAUUUCCUAUGAUAUCCAAAAAAGCCUCAAGUCAAUUAUUUAAAGUGUUUAUUAAUCAGCAGAGAUAAAUCACUUAGAAAGAUUAAAAUUAUAUUCUCUUUGGUGGAAUAUUCUUCUAUCCAGACCUCAAACAAUUCCUAUAAAAUUCCACUGAACGUAAGCUCAAGUUCAAAAAAUCAUAAAACAGGUGAGGAUCUUAAGUACCUCUGAUGAGUGGCAGGGUAUAAGUGGCUCAUGUGGGUGAUCCCAACACUUUGGGAAGUUGAGGUGUGGGAUCACUUGAAGCCAGGAGUUCAAAACCAGCCUGGCUAACAUAGUGAGACCCUGUCUCUGUUUUUAAAAAACAAAUAAAGUCCAAUGAGUUGAGUGCCAGCAGAAAAAGAAAACUGACAGAUAUCUAUAAAUAUUUUAGAUACUCGAAUUAUCUGUUGCUGAAUAGAAAUAUACCUUUUCCUCAUUAUUACGUUUAAUUCACUCCUGAAAACCCUACUGCUAAGUGAAAAGCCACUAAAUGAAAAUAAUAUUUUCACUGGAAAAUCAUGAUGCAUUCUGUGUAAACCCAAGAAAACUAAACAAAUUCAGACCAAAAAAAUCAAUUUUUCCAAAGACAAGCUUAUAUAAACAAGUUGAAAUAAAGACAGUUUAUUUACAAACUAUAAUGUAAUGAA
Rhinopithecus roxellana (golden snub-nosed monkey) is the source of this 4514-nucleotide long non-coding RNA. RefSeq lists it as uncharacterized. NCBI's taxonomy places the organism in Eukaryota, Metazoa, Chordata, Mammalia, Primates, Cercopithecidae. The record is from RefSeq and is a predicted model, not a curated record. The transcript is spliced from 2 exons.